GAUGAACGCUGGCGGCGUGCCUAAUACAUGCAAGUCGAGCGAACAGACGAGGAGCUUGCUCCUCUGACGUUAGCGGCGGACGGGUGAGUAACAUGUGGAUAACCUACCUAUAAGACUGGGAUAACUUCGGGAAACCGGAGCUAAUACCGGAUAAUAUAUUGAACCGCAUGGUUCAAUAGUGAAAGACGGUUUUGCUGUCACUUAUAGAUGGAUCCGCGCCGCAUUAGCUAGUUGGUAAGGUAACGGCUUACCAAGGCGACGAUGCGUAGCCGACCUGAGAGGGUGAUCGGCCACACUGGAACUGAGACACGGUCCAGACUCCUACGGGAGGCAGCAGUAGGGAAUCUUCCGCAAUGGGCGAAAGCCUGACGGAGCAACGCCGCGUGAGUGAUGAAGGUCUUCGGAUCGUAAAACUCUGUUAUUAGGGAAGAACAAAUGUGUAAGUAACUAUGCACGUCUUGACGGUACCUAAUCAGAAAGCCACGGCUAACUACGUG
RNAcentral lists this ribosomal RNA (497 nucleotides) under uncultured bacterium. RNAcentral describes it as "partial 16S ribosomal RNA". It matches the Rfam family "Bacterial small subunit ribosomal RNA", at positions 28 to 507 of the family's 1533-position model. The record is from RNAcentral.